Molecule: long non-coding RNA, 333 nt
Filed under: Monodelphis domestica (gray short-tailed opossum)
Lineage: Eukaryota; Metazoa; Chordata; Mammalia; Didelphimorphia; Didelphidae
Description: lncRNA (ENSMODG00000038035.1)
Source: RNAcentral
AUGAAAAAGCCUUUCGGACAUCCUUUGGAGCUGGAGUGGAGAUUCUUACUGCAUGGGAGGAAUGGGAGUCUUCUCAGAUCAAGUAUCCAGCUUACAUUAGCCAGAAUAAAUACAUUUAUUAGAUGUCAUUUCCUGUGGUGCUACCUGAGAGAAUUGAGGGGAUUAGGACAGCAAGUAGUUCACUGUGGGAACUUGAGUGGACCACAUUGACUCCAUCUUGUAACUGUGGUAGAGGCAUGGAGAGAGAGAGAACUUGUAAACCAAGAUGCAAGAAACUGGGGACCUAACCUGCCUGUCAAUCAAGAAGGAGUUUCCAAAAUGGAAUGUUCCCAG